Molecule: ribosomal RNA, 454 nt
Filed under: uncultured Pseudomonas sp.
Lineage: Bacteria; Pseudomonadati; Pseudomonadota; Gammaproteobacteria; Pseudomonadales; Pseudomonadaceae
Description: bacterial SSU rRNA
Rfam family: Bacterial small subunit ribosomal RNA
Source: RNAcentral
CGGUGGGAGCAUGUGGUUUAAUUCGAAGCAACGCGAAGAACUUACCAGGCCUUGACAUGCAGAGAACUUUCCAGAGAUGGAUUGGUGCCUUCGGGAACUCUGACACAGGUGCUGCAUGGCUGUCGUCAGCUCGUGUCGUGAGAUGUUGGGUUAAGUCCCGUAACGAGCGCAACCCUUGUCCUUAGUUACCAGCACGUUAUGGUGGGCACUCUAAGGAGACUGCCGGUGACAAACCGGAGGAAGGUGGGGGAUGACGUCAAGUCAUCAUGGCCCUUACGGCCUGGGCUACACACGUGCUACAAUGGUCGGUACAAAGGGUUGCCAAGCCGCGAGGUGGAGCUAAUCCCAUAAAACCGAUCGUAGUCCGGAUCGCAGUCUGCAACUCGACUGCGUGAAGUCGGAAUCGCUAGUAAUCGUGAAUCAGAAUGUCACGGUGAAUACGUUCCCGGGCCUU